RNAcentral lists this ribosomal RNA (253 nucleotides) under uncultured bacterium. RNAcentral describes it as "partial 16S ribosomal RNA". It matches the Rfam family "Bacterial small subunit ribosomal RNA", at positions 524 to 776 of the family's 1533-position model. The record is from RNAcentral.
UACGGAGGGGGCAAGCGUUAUUCGGAAUUAUUGGGCGUAAAGGGCGCGUAGGCGGCUAGAUGUGUCAAAGGUGAAAUCCCUCGGCUCAACUGAGGAACUGCCUUUGAAACUGUCUGGCUUGAGGCCGGGAGAGGGUAGCGGAAUUCCCAGUGUAGCGGUGAAAUGCGUAGAUAUUGGGAGGAACACCAGUGGCGAAGGCGAGUCUCUGGACGACACCUGACACUGAGGCACGAAAGCUAGGGGAGCAAACAGG